RNAcentral lists this ribosomal RNA (665 nucleotides) under uncultured Bacilli bacterium. Its description in RNAcentral is "bacterial SSU rRNA". It matches the Rfam family "Bacterial small subunit ribosomal RNA", at positions 69 to 705 of the family's 1533-position model. The record is from RNAcentral. Lineage: Bacteria; Bacillati; Bacillota; Bacilli.
CUUCUUUUUCCACCGGAGCUUGCUCCACCGGAAAAAGAGGAGUGGCGAACGGGUGAGUAACACGUGGGUAACCUGCCCAUCAGAAGGGGAUAACACUUGGAAACAGGUGCUAAUACCGUAUAACAAUCGAAACCGCAUGGUUUUGAUUUGAAAGGCGCUUUCGGGUGUCGCUGAUGGAUGGACCCGCGGUGCAUUAGCUAGUUGGUGAGGUAACGGCUCACCAAGGCCACGAUGCAUAGCCGACCUGAGAGGGUGAUCGGCCACAUUGGGACUGAGACACGGCCCAAACUCCUACGGGAGGCAGCAGUAGGGAAUCUUCGGCAAUGGACGAAAGUCUGACCGAGCAACGCCGCGUGAGUGAAGAAGGUUUUCGGAUCGUAAAACUCUGUUAUUAGAGAAGAACAAGGAUGAGAGUAACUGUUCAUCCCUUGACGGUAUCUAACCAGAAAGCCACGGCUAACUACGUGCCAGCAGCCGCGGUAAUACGUAGGUGGCAAGCGUUGUCCGGAUUUAUUGGGCGUAAAGCGAGCGCAGGCGGUUUCUUAAGUCUGAUGUGAAAGCCCCCGGCUCAACCGGGGAGGGUCAUUGGAAACUGGGAGACUUGAGUGCAGAAGAGGAGAGUGGAAUUCCAUGUGUAGCGGUGAAAUGCGUAGAUAUAUGGAGGA